AAAGAGCAAAGCAGAAAAUAUGGCUACCCACUGAGAUAAUUACAAAAGUAGAAAAGAAAGAGAAAAACAAAAGUAAGGAAUAAACAUUCUACCAGAAUGAUGUAAUUUAUUAUCUUUCGGAGACAUAUGUAUAAACCCCAUCAGUGGGUAAUAUGUAUAAACCCAUCAGAGGGUAAAAAAAAAAAAAAAAAAAAAAAAAAAAAAAAAAGGAAAAGCCCAAAACAAAUGGGCUGACAUGUUGUGGAAGGCGAAG
Molecule: long non-coding RNA, 253 nt
Filed under: Malus domestica (apple)
Lineage: Eukaryota; Viridiplantae; Streptophyta; Magnoliopsida; Rosales; Rosaceae
Description: long non-coding RNA (MDOM_LNC007321)
Source: RNAcentral